AAAUUGAAGAGUUUGAUCAUGGCUCAGAUUGAACGCUGGCGGCAGGCCUAACACAUGCAAGUCGAGCGGUAGCACAGAGAGCUUGCUCUCGGGUGACGAGCGGCGGACGGGUGAGUAAUGUCUGGGAAACUGCCUGAUGGAGGGGAUAACUACUGGAAACGGUAGCUAAUACCGCAUAAUGUCGCAAGACCAAAGUGGGGGACCUUCGGGCCUCAUGCCAUCAGAUGUGCCCAGAUGGGAUUAGCUAGUAGGUGGGGUAACGGCUCACCUAGGCGACGAUCCCUAGCUGGUCUGAGAGGAUGACCAGCCACACUGGAACUGAGACACGGUCCAGACUCCUACGGGAGGCAGCAGUGGGGAAUAUUGCACAAUGGGCGCAAGCCUGAUGCAGCCAUGCCGCGUGUGUGAAGAAGGCCUUCGGGUUGUAAAGCACUUUCAGCGGGGAGGAAGGCGGUGAGGUUAAUAACCUCAUCGAUUGACGUUACCCGCAGAAGAAGCACCGGCUAACUCCGUGCCAGCAGCCGCGGUAAUACGGAGGGUGCAAGCGUUAAUCGGAAUUACUGGGCGUAAAGCGCACGCAGGCGGUCUGUCAAGUCGGAUGUGAAAUCCCCGGGCUCAACCUGGGAACUGCAUUCGAAACUGGCAGGCUAGAGUCUUGUAGAGGGGGGUAGAAUUCCAGGUGUAGCGGUGAAAUGCGUAGAGAUCUGGAGGAAUACCGGUGGCGAAGGCGGCCCCCUGGACAAAGACUGACGCUCAGGUGCGAAAGCGUGGGGAGCAAACAGGAUUAGAUACCCUGGUAGUCCACGCCGUAAACGAUGUCGAUUUGGAGGUUGUGCCCUUGAGGCGUGGCUUCCGGAGCUAACGCGUUAAAUCGACCGCCUGGGGAGUACGGCCGCAAGGUUAAAACUCAAAUGAAUUGACGGGGCCCGCACAAGCGGUGGAGCAUGUGGUUUAAUUCGAUGCAACGCGAAGAACCUUACCUGGUCUUGACAUCCACAGAACUUUCCAGAGAUGGAUUGGUGCCUUCGGGAACUGUGAGACAGGUGCUGCAUGGCUGUCGUCAGCUCGUGUUGUGAAAUGUUGGGUUAAGUCCCGCAACGAGCGCAACCCUUAUCCUUUGUUGCCAGCGGUCCGGCCGGGAACUCAAAGGAGACUGCCAGUGAUAAACUGGAGGAAGGUGGGGAUGACGUCAAGUCAUCAUGGCCCUUACGACCAGGGCUACACACGUGCUACAAUGGCAUAUACAAAGAGAAGCGACCUCGCGAGAGCAAGCGGACCUCAUAAAGUAUGUCGUAGUCCGGAUUGGAGUCUGCAACUCGACUCCAUGAAGUCGGAAUCGCUAGUAAUCGUAGAUCAGAAUGCUACGGUGAAUACGUUCCCGGGCCUUGUACACACCGCCCGUCACACCAUGGGAGUGGGUUGCAAAAGAAGUAGGUAGCUUAACCUUCGGGAGGGCGCUUACCACUUUGUGAUUCAUGACUGGGGUGAAGUCGUAACAAGGUAACCGUAGGGGAACCUGCGGUUGGAUCACCUCCUUACCUUAAAGAA
Molecule: ribosomal RNA, 1548 nt
Filed under: Klebsiella pneumoniae
Lineage: Bacteria; Pseudomonadati; Pseudomonadota; Gammaproteobacteria; Enterobacterales; Enterobacteriaceae
Description: bacterial SSU rRNA
Rfam family: Bacterial small subunit ribosomal RNA
Source: RNAcentral